ACGUAGGGAGCAAGCGUUAUCCGGAUUUACUGGGCGUAAAGGGCGCGCAGGCGGGCCGGCAAGUUGGAAGUGAAAUCUAUGGGCUUAACCCAUAAACUGCUUUCAAAACUGCUGGUCUUGAGUGAUGGAGAGGCAGGCGGAAUUCCGUGUGUAGCGGUGAAAUGCGUAGAUAUACGGAGGAACACCAGUGGCGAAGGCGGCCUGCUGGACAUUAACUGACGCUGAGGCGCGAAAGCGUGGGGAGCAAACAG
Molecule: ribosomal RNA, 251 nt
Filed under: uncultured bacterium
Lineage: Bacteria
Description: partial 16S ribosomal RNA
Rfam family: Bacterial small subunit ribosomal RNA
Source: RNAcentral